Molecule: ribosomal RNA, 1200 nt
Filed under: Campylobacter coli
Lineage: Bacteria; Pseudomonadati; Campylobacterota; Epsilonproteobacteria; Campylobacterales; Campylobacteraceae
Description: partial 23S ribosomal RNA
Rfam family: Bacterial large subunit ribosomal RNA
Source: RNAcentral
AAAAAAGGUAAGCUACUAAGAGCGAAUGGUGGAUGCCUUGACUGGUAAAGGCGAUGAAGGACGUACUAGACUGCGAUAAGCUACGGGGAGCUGUCAAGAAGCUUUGAUCCGUAGAUUUCCGAAUGGGGCAACCCAAUGUAUAGAGAUAUACAUUACCUAUAUAGGAGCGAACGAGGGGAAUUGAAACAUCUUAGUACCCUCAGGAAAAGAAAUCAAUAGAGAUUGCGUCAGUAGCGGCGAGCGAAAGCGCAAGAGGGCAAACCCAGUGCUUGCACUGGGGGUUGUAGGACUGCAAUGUGCAAGAGGUAAGUUUAGCAGAACAUUCUGGAAAGUAUAACCAUAGAGGGUGAUAGUCCCGUAUGCGAAAAACAAACCUUAGCUAGCAGUAUCCUGAGUAGGGCGGGACACGAGGAAUCCUGUCUGAAUCUGGGUCGACCACGAUCCAACCCUAAAUACUAAUACCAGAUCGAUAGUGCACAAGUACCGUGAGGGAAAGGUGAAAAGAACUGAGGUGAUCAGAGUGAAAUAGAACCUGAAACCAUUUGCUUACAAUCAUUCAGAGCCCUAUGUAGCAAUACAGGGUGAUGGACUGCCUUUUGCAUAAUGAGCCUGCGAGUUGUGGUGUCUGGCAAGGUUAAGCAAACGCGAAGCCGUAGCGAAAGCGAGUCUGAAUAGGGCGCUUAGUCAGAUGCUGCAGACCCGAAACGAAGUGAUCUAUCCAUGAGCAAGUUGAAGCUAGUGUAAGAACUAGUGGAGGACUGAACCCAUAGGCGUUGAAAAGCCCCGGGAUGACUUGUGGAUAGGGGUGAAAGGCCAAUCAAACUUCGUGAUAGCUGGUUCUCUCCGAAAUAUAUUUAGGUAUAGCGUUGUGUCGUAAUAUAAGGGGGUAGAGCACUGAAUGGGCUAGGGCAUACACCAAUGUACCAAACCCUAUCAAACUCCGAAUACCUUAUAUGUAAUCACAGCAGUCAGGCGGCGAGUGAUAAAAUCCGUCGUCAAGAGGGAAACAACCCAGACUACCAGCUAAGGUCCCUAAAUCUUACUUAAGUGGAAAACGAUGUGAAGUUACUUAAACAACCAGGAGGUUGGCUUAGAAGCAGCCAUCCUUUAAAGAAAGCGUAAUAGCUCACUGGUCUAGUGAUUUUGCGCGGAAAAUAUAACGGGGCUAAAGUAAGUACCGAAGCUGUAGACUUAGUUUAC